UAGGGAAUCUUCGGCAAUGGACGAAAGUCUGACCGAGCAACGCCGCGUGAGUGAAGAAGGUUUUCGGAUCGUAAAACUCUGUUGUUAGAGAAGAACAAGGACGUUAGUAACUGAACGUCCCCUGACGGUAUCUAACCAGAAAGCCACGGCUAACUACGUGCCAGCAGCCGCGGUAAUACGUAGGUGGCAAGCGUUGUCCGGAUUUAUUGGGCGUAAAGCGAGCGCAGGCGGUUACUUAAGUCUGAUGUGAAAGCCCCCGGCUCAACCGGGGAGGGUCAUUGGAAACUGGGAGACUUGAGUGCAGAAGAGGAGAGUGGAAUUCCAUGUGUAGCGGUGAAAUGCGUAGAUAUAUGGGGGAACACCAGUGGCGAAGGCGGCUCUCUGGUCUGUAACUGACGCUGAGGCUCGAAAGCGUGGGGAGCAAACAGG
This 429-nucleotide ribosomal RNA is filed under the name Gemmatimonadota bacterium. Its description in RNAcentral is "Gemmatimonadetes bacterium partial 16S ribosomal RNA". It matches the Rfam family "Bacterial small subunit ribosomal RNA", at positions 355 to 776 of the family's 1533-position model. The record is from RNAcentral. Lineage: Bacteria; Pseudomonadati; Gemmatimonadota.